GCUGGUGACCUGACUCAAGGGACCUCCUUCCCCCAGGCCCGGCUAGUCCCUAGAUGGGAGACCACCUGGGAAUCCCGGGUGCUGUAGGCA
Molecule: ribosomal RNA, 90 nt
Filed under: Sphenodon punctatus (tuatara)
Lineage: Eukaryota; Metazoa; Chordata; Lepidosauria; Sphenodontia; Sphenodontidae
Source: RNAcentral